Molecule: long non-coding RNA, 1444 nt
Organism: Cataglyphis hispanica
Lineage: Eukaryota; Metazoa; Arthropoda; Insecta; Hymenoptera; Formicidae
Exons: 2
Source: RefSeq, a predicted model, not a curated record
AAGCGAGAAACAGAGAGAGAGAGAGAGCGUCAUUUUUAUUAUAAUUUAUAUCGUGUACAUUAUCGUCAUCAGCGAUUAUACGAAGUAUUAUAAUAAGCAAUUUUAAAAGAGUAUACGUAACACGAUCAAUUAAUGUACCAAUGAUGAUUUGGCAUUUUAGCACAUAAGACAGCAUCGCGUAUUGUAUUCCGCGCGCAAAAAAGACUUUAUAUUUUACAUGAAAUACAUGUAAAAUAACGACACCAAAGUGUCAUCCAAAAAAAUUAUAUUUUCUUUGCGAUAGUUUUACAACUAUUUCAUAAUAAUUUGGAUAAAUAACAUUAUUUAAAUUAUACCGUAUUAAUUACAGAGAAAUAAUCACUAUUAAACGAUAUCGUAUUUUUAUGUAUUUUAAGACGAAAGGAUACAUUUCGCCAAUUGAAAUUAUUAAAAAUUUUUCAUUCCUAUAAAUUCAGAUGCAUCGCACAGAUAUACUAAAACUACAUUGUAAUAUUUACUGCCGGUAUUGAAAAUCUAUAGUGUACAUAUGACAUAAAUUAUACAUUUUCUGGCAGUUAAUAUCAAAACGCAGCAAAAUCUCUUAUUUCUAAAGCCACAACUGAAUCUAAAUCUCACAUAAAAAUCUAAUGUGUAUGUGUGCGUAUGUGUGCGUGCGUGCGCGCGAGCGUACGUGUGCGUGUGUGUGUGUCUACAUACACACAUAUACAUUAUAUACACGAAAAUAAUAUUCGUCGUCACAGUUUUAUAGUUUUUUUUUUUAUUAAUUCCUUAUUCUCUCUCUCUUUAUACAUACACAUGAUACUAUCGAUCUUGGAAUUUUAUUCAGAAUUUCGUGAUAAAAUCAAAAUAUCCUAAUAUUUAUUCCGCGUCACUAUUUCUCGCACAUUCUUAGAAAUAAUAAUCUCGUCUGUAUAAUGUUCGAGAAUUCGGAAAUAUUUUUCAAGCGCACUUUAUGACAGCAGACAAUGUGAUGGGUACCCUCAUCUGAUAUACCAAACUUCCACAGCAUGUAGUAGCAUGCUGUCCGAUGUUAAUAAUGUACCAAAGACAUCGAUUAACUGGAAGAAUUAGUUGUUUAACGUUAGAGAUGAAAACAAGAACGCGCGUGUGCCAAAAAGAAGAAAAAGAGAAAACAGAAUAAAUUGAUGAAAGAAAAAAUAUUCAAAUGAAAUUUUAACAAAACAAAAAAAAGAAAUAUUAUACUGCUCGGCAUCGCAUCUAAAAUAUAUUGUUAUUAUUUAUAAAGAAAUCAUGUAUACAUAAUACAUGUACUAACUUGGCGUGCUCGUGUGGUUGGAAACUUUUACGAUAUAUAUGUUGAAAAUUAUCUAUAUUAUUACUAUUAUUAUUAUUAUUAUUAUUAUUAUUAUUAUUAUUAUUAUAUUAUAUUAUAUUAUCUAUUAUUAUUAUUACUAUUAUAAAUAUACUUUUAUUAUCUUUCUCA